RNAcentral lists this ribosomal RNA (468 nucleotides) under uncultured bacterium. RNAcentral's name for it is "partial 16S ribosomal RNA". It matches the Rfam family "Bacterial small subunit ribosomal RNA", at positions 28 to 507 of the family's 1533-position model. The record is from RNAcentral.
GACGAACGCUGUCGGCGUGCUUAACACAUGCACGUCGAACGGAAAGGCCCUGCUUUUGUGGGGUGCUCGAGUGGCGAACGGGUGAGUAACCCGUGAGUAACCUGCCCUUGACUUUGGGAUAACUUCAGGAAACUGGGGCUAAUACCGGAUAGGAGCUCCUGCUGCAUGGUGGGGGUUGGAAAGUUUCGGCGGUUGGGGAUGGACUCGCGGCUUAUCAGCUUGUUGGUGGGGUAGUGGCUUACCAAGGCUUUGACGGGUAGCCGGCCUGAGAGGGUGACCGGCCACAUUGGGACUGAGAUACGGCCCAGACUCCUACGGGAGGCAGCAGUGGGGAAUAUUGCACAAUGGGCGGAAGCCUGAUGCAGCAACGCCGCGUGCGGGAUGACGGCCUUCGGGUUGUAAACCGCUUUCGCCUGUGACGAAGCGUGAGUGACGGUAAUGGGUAAAGAAGCACCGGCUAACUACGUG